UUUUUUCCAACUGACAGAUGCUAGUUCUUUAGUUUUCUGAAAUCAGAUUUGACUUCAGCAGGGCCUCAGGUGCACUGACUGCUGCUGCUGCUGUUUCCUGAUACCAUUUUUCUCCAACCUAAACCCAGGUCCCGGUCUAGAUCCCGCUCCAGAUCCAGAGGAAGAAGGUAUUCUCGGUCACGCAGUCGGAGUCGCGGUAGGAGGUCCAGGUCAGCUUCCUACCGCCGGUCCCGGUCCGUUUCUCCUCGUAGGUCUAGGUCUGUGUCUCCCCGCCGGUCCCGAUCGGGUUCCUUGAAGAGAUCAAGGUCUAGAUCAAGAUCCAGGUCUAGAUCCCGUUCUGUUACGUGGCCCCGAAGCAGGUCUAGGUCCCAUGGCAGAUCAAAAUCUGGCUCGCCGGCUAAGAGUCGGUCAAAGUCCCGAUCACCGUCUCCAAAGAGAAGUCGCUCGCCGUCAGGAAGCCCUCAAAGAAGUGCAAGUCCUGAAAGAAUGGAUUAAAGUUAUGAAGUCAAUCUUUUAGGAAGAAAGUUAUUUUGCUUACAUUAUUAUAAGGGAUUUUGUGGUGUCUUUGUAAAUGUAAGAAUGUAGAUAGAAGAGUAUAUCAACUAAAAUUUGGCAUGAUCUGGGUCUUCUGAGUUAGUCACACCAAUAGACUUGCACAGGUCUCUUUUUAUUGUACCAAUUAACUUCCUGUGAUAUGAAAAUGUGGGACUUUUUUUAUUGGCACAUUGAAAUAAAAUGUGUAUUUUUAAC
Long non-coding RNA from Eurypyga helias (sunbittern), 750 nucleotides. RefSeq lists it as uncharacterized. Lineage: Eukaryota; Metazoa; Chordata; Aves; Eurypygiformes; Eurypygidae. The record is from RefSeq and is a predicted model, not a curated record. The transcript is spliced from 6 exons.